GAUGGGAUCCGGUGCAUUAGUGCAAGUAUGAUCGCACCUGAUAUAUAAUACAGUUUAAUUGUAUAUAUGUCUUCCAUCUUUCAGGCCGAAUUUUGGAGAAAUCCGAGAAACUAGAAUAAAUUUCAUUAAUCUCGCCAAAAAUUGAACGAUAAAAUUUAUAACAAGGUGAAAACUAAACAAAAUAAAACAAAAUCGAAAAAAGAGGUCCAACAAAAGGACUUCCCAGGAGGUCACCCAUCCUAGUACUACUCUCGCCCAAGCACGCUUAGCUGCGAAGUUCUGAUGGGAUCCAGUGCAUUAGUGCUGGUAUGAUCGCACCUGAUAUAUAAUACGGUUUAAUUGUAUAUAUGUCUUCCAUCUUUCAGGCCGAGUUUUGAAGAAAUCUGAGAAACUAGAAUAAAACACGAUAUUUUUCAUUAAUCUCGCCAAAAAUUGAACGAUAAAAUUUAUAACACGGUGAAAACUAAACGAAAUAAAAAAAAUCGAAAAUAAAGGGGCAACACAAGGAUUCCCAGGAGGUUACCCAUCCUAGUACUACUCUCGCCCAAGCACGCUUAACUACGGAGUUCUGAUGGGAUCCAGUGCAGUAGUGCUGGUAUGAUCGCACCUGAUAUAUGAUACGGUUUAAUUGUAUAUAUGUCUUCCAUC
This 648-nucleotide long non-coding RNA is filed under the name Trifolium pratense (red clover). RNAcentral's name for it is "long non-coding RNA (TPRA_LNC009616)". The record is from RNAcentral. Lineage: Eukaryota; Viridiplantae; Streptophyta; Magnoliopsida; Fabales; Fabaceae.